This 373-nucleotide ribosomal RNA is filed under the name uncultured organism. Its description in RNAcentral is "partial 16S ribosomal RNA". It matches the Rfam family "Bacterial small subunit ribosomal RNA", at positions 527 to 896 of the family's 1533-position model. The record is from RNAcentral.
GUAGGUGGCAAGCGUUGUCCGGAAUUAUUGGGCGUAAAGCGCGCGCAGGUGGUUCUUUAAGUCUGAUGUGAAAGCCCCCGGGCUCAACCGGGGAGGGUCAUCGGAAACUGGGGAACUUGAGUGCAGGAGAGGAAAGUGGAAUUCCACGUGUAGCGGUGAAAUGCGUAGAUAUGUGGAGGAACACCAGUGGCGAAGGCGACUUUCUGGCCUGUAACUGACACUGUGGCGCGAAAGCGUGGGGAGCAAACAGGAUUAGAUACCCUGGUAGUCCACGCCGUAAACGAUGAGUGCUAAGUGUUGGGGGGUUUCCGCCCCUCAGUGCUGCAGCUAACGCAUUAAGCACUCCGCCUGGGGAGUACGGUCGCAAAGACUG